This is a long non-coding RNA of Corythoichthys intestinalis (scribbled pipefish), 822 nucleotides long. RefSeq lists it as uncharacterized. The transcript is spliced from 3 exons. The record is from RefSeq and is a predicted model, not a curated record. Lineage: Eukaryota; Metazoa; Chordata; Actinopteri; Syngnathiformes; Syngnathidae.
AAGGUUCAGAUACUUUUUCAUACCACUGUAUAUGUUUACAGAAGACUGAGCUAGUCUCAGUCCUUCUUGAUUGAUAUAAUCAUUGAUUCAUGAACUCGGACAGUGGUCAAAUGCAAUCCCUUUGUUGUUCACAUCAGGUUUGAUGAAAUGACUUUGCACCGAGCGAGCGUAUCCUCAGUCGAGAAGUACAAGAGCUGUGCCACAUACUGUAUCAAGAUCAAUUUGAACAGUUUCAUGUGAAAGGUCUUCGCUCAAAGUGUCCUUCUUCACACUCAGCUCGGCCACCUGAGCCCUCAACGGAGUCACGACUUCGUAAAAGCGCAUCUACAAACAUAACGGAAAAGGAAGGUUACGAAGCUCCUGAUAGCGCUCAUGUGACAUGUCCAAGUUCCGUAGAGAUCGACGAAGCUCCCCGGCCUUCUCCCGCAUCUGCAUGUUCGCCUCCUCCAGCUGCUGCUGCCGGAGCAAGAUGCCAUCCACUUCUUUCUUGCGCAGAGCCUGCUGCUUCCUAAAAACAACGGUUCGUAUUCAGUGUGCCAUGUUAGCAAUAUGUCAUGGUUGAAGCCUGCAUAUGAUCACCUGUUGUCUUCCUGCGCGAGCUUCAGCUCACUGUCGAGCCUCAGCGCCAACACUUGUUUCUGAUGGAGGGCAUCGUUCAGUCUCUCCUCAAGCUCCUCCAACUAAUGUACAACAGAGCACUACCAUAAUACAGGUCCUUCUAAAAAAAUUUGAAUAUUGUGAUAAAGUUCAUUAUUUUCUGUAAUGUACUGAUAAUAAUUAGACUUUCAUAUAUUUUAAAUUCAUUACUCACAACUGAAGUAG